This 81-nucleotide ribosomal RNA is filed under the name Melaleuca trichostachya. The record is from RNAcentral. Lineage: Eukaryota; Viridiplantae; Streptophyta; Magnoliopsida; Myrtales; Myrtaceae.
GGAUGGGUGACCUCCUGGGAAGUCCUCGUGUUGCACCCCUGCAAUAGGCUACUCUCGAGAAGAGAAAUUUAGUCGCUUCAA